UGUGGGGGGAAAAAUUGGGUCAAAAAGUAGUGUGUGGGGGGAAAAAUGGAUGGAAAGGAGCCCCAGAAUGGGACGUGCAGUGGGAAAAAUGGGUCAAAAAGGAGAGUGGUGGGGAAAAGUGGGUCAAAAGGGGCCCCAAAAUGGGUGGAAAGGAGCCCCAAAAUGGGAUGUGUGGGGGAAAAAUUGGGUCAAAAAGGAGUGUGUGGGGGGAAAAUGGGUGGAAAGGAGCCCCAAAAUGGGAUGCGGGGAAAAAAACGGUCAAAAAGGAGUCCCAAAAUAAGAUGUAGGGUGGAAAAAACAAGCCAAAAGGGAGAGUGGUGGGGAAAAGUGGGUUGAAAGGAGCCCCAGAAUGGGUGGAAAGGAGCCCCAAAAUGGGAUGUGAGGUGGGAAAAAUGGGUCAAAAAGGAGUGUGUGUGGGAAAAACAGGUCAAAAGGAGCCCCAAAAUGGGAUGUGGGGGGAAUAAUUGGGUCAAAAAGGAGUGUGUGGGGGAAAAAUGGGUCAAAAGGAGACCCAGAAUGAGAUGUGGGGUGGGAAAAAUGGGUGGAAAAGUAGUGUGGUGGGGAAAAAAUGGGUCAAAAGGAGCCCCAAAAUGGGAUGUGGGGAAAAAAAAAUGGGUCGGGAUGGAGAGUGGCGGAGAAAAAUGGGUGAAAAGGAGCCCAAAAUGGGUCAAAAGGAACACCCACAUGAAGUGUAGGGUGGGAAAAAUGGGUCAAAAGUAGUGCGAGGGAGAAAAAAUGGGUCAAAAAGGAGCAUGGUGGGAACAAAUGGGUGGAAAAGGAGCCCCAAAAUGGGUCCAAAGGAGCCCCAAAAUGAGUCAAAAUGCAUUAAAUAUGGAUUUGGGUAAAUAACUACUGAUUUGGGUAAUUAAAUAUCGACUUGGGUAAAUAAAUAUCAGUUUGCUGGAACA
RNAcentral lists this long non-coding RNA (908 nucleotides) under Anas platyrhynchos platyrhynchos (common mallard). RNAcentral describes it as "lncRNA (ENSAPLG00000025508.1)". Lineage: Eukaryota; Metazoa; Chordata; Aves; Anseriformes; Anatidae. The record is from RNAcentral.